CAGGCAGGCUCUGUGGUGCCAGCUCGAGGCAGAAGCCAGAUGAGCUCUUCACUUGGAGAUCUUUGCGCCCAGGCCCCGUGGGGGAGCAAGGCAGCCAGGUAUCGGGGCGUCACUGCCACUGACGGGGUGCUGCCCUGCUGCGCUGAAGCCGUGUUGCUCUGGAGACGCCUGAAGAAAAUACCAGAAAUCCCCAUACAAGAAGGAGAUUCUUUGCUUUGCAAUUGCUUUUGAUUUUGUGAUGUUUGCAUUGAAUAAUUCAUGAAACUAUAAUCUGGUAACUUAGCACCAUGCAUACUAGCAUAGUUAUGGUGAUGAAAAUAAAGCUUAAAAUGUUAGUUUUUCAUAUCACACAGCCAUGCUGAAAAAAAGAAAAAAUACAAGUCCCUUUUAAGUUCAGCUGAUGGCAGGAUCUGAGCAGUGUGGGGUUUGUGUUACUGAAACUGUGUACAGAUUUAACAGAGUUUAUAGCUGGUGGAAAAAUCUGUAGUAAUUACCAGCAGAAGAGCAAACUGCUGGCCCAAACAUGCACUCUGAUUGUGGUUCCUUUAUUUUUACGCUAUAGGUGAAACAGGGUGCUAAUAACCUGGAUUUUGUGAUGUGCCUGUAGAAAAAAGGGAGGCAUUUUAACUGUAAUAAUAGGCAACAAAAAUAUUUUCUAGGGUUUGGUGUUUUGUUACUUCCAGCACAUUUUUAUUUGGUAUACAAGAAAGGUGGUUGUACGUACUGACUGAGAAAUUACACCUAAUGAUUAAUAGUUUUUUCUGUAAUUUAGUAUAGAGGUUAGAUAUUCUCUCUCUCUUUCCUAUUAGAUUAUUUAUUAAAUAUUUUCUGAGUGUUAGGUGGUGUUGCCAGUGCCCAGUGUCAGACACGAGCGAAGCUGGCAUUCAUGUGGUUUUUCGGGUGCUUUCCUGCCGUGGUUGGCGGUGUGUUGCGGGGAGCAGGGCCGGGCAGUGUCCUUCCCAUGGCUGUAUUGAUUUGCCCCUCAGCUGUUUGCAGCGCAGAGAGAACCCAGGGCCUUGUUGUUGAUUAUCUACACAAUGUCUCAGUGAACAGUAUUGACCCAUUGCCACUCACUGCCUAUGGCUCUUGAUUUUUCACACUGUCUCCAUGACACUCACAAUAAAACAUACUAUCUUAUUGCUGUGUGGCUCUGGAAGCCAACCGAUCUGCCCAUAGUGCAGCUGCUGCCUUUCUGGAGCGCGUGUCAUUAGGUGGGCAGCAAGGUGCUGGCGCCCUUUGGGGUGGUCUUUGUGUACCCUGUUUUGAGGGGUCCCGCGCCCUGCACUCAGGCCGUGUCCUGCACAGCGGCAUGGGGCUCAUUGUGCUUCGUUGCUGCAGAUCUCAGAGAAAGGUUAUGCAAGGCGCUCUCAGCGUGGCUUUCGAAAUGUUUGAAUAAUCUAAAGAAUGAAUGAGAUUUUUUUUUUUUAAGGAAAGAGAAAAACCCAACCCACCCAACAAAAAAAACUGUUAGGAAAAGUGAGAUGAUAUAAAAUACCAAGAUCACUCUGAGAAUUUUAAGUGCUUUGAUAAGUUUCAAAAUAAUCAUGAAAAAUAGAAAUAUCAGUUUAGCUGGGCUUUUUGCAAAUCUGUUUAAUUAUAUUUUACUAUAAAGUAGCGUAGCCAUAUGUUGGGGGAAAUUAUGGGAAUUACUCCUUUGCAAUAGUUUUGUCUUUUACAGUAAUGGUAUUUGUGCUGUACUUUGGAUUAUUACUCCGAACUGCUGCUACGGGGGAUUUCUUUGUUUUUUUUUAAUAAAUAGAACUGUUCCACAAGAAGUUCUGUUCCACUAGAAUUUUCUAGUCUUAAACUGCACUAGGAACUCUGUUCUGAAGCUUGAUUAGAAUUAUGUAGAACACUGGCUGAACUUUGGCAUAUCAAUUCAUACAGUAUUUACUGUUGAAUCCAUUUAGCAUUUUCUGUUGUUGGAGAAGCAGUGGGUUUGUGACCAGAAUAUUUUUAAAUCCUUCAAAAACAAGGUAUGCAGAGACAAGUGAUGGGAGGUAAAGGCUCUGGAGGAGGAUUCCCCAUUCCGGCGGUGCACGGAGCAGCCUUUCAGGAGAUGCUGAGCCCCCUCCACACCUAGGGAGGACCCAAGUUCCCUGUAAAAGCAGAUUUUUUUUUUAUUAUUUAUUUUUUUUAAUGGUGCCUGGUGCCACAUCCAUCAGAGUGACAUCGGCGGUCUCCAGAGCAGCAUUUAGCAGUUCAGUGUGUGUUUAUCACGGAUGAAGGCUCUCUCAGGAAAGUAAAAUUGUAAAUGGAGGGAGCUGAUGACUGGUGGCUCCCUGGCAGAGGGAAGGAGAGAAGUGAGAAGGGAUCUCUGUGAUCAUCAGGUCUGACCUCCUGCAGGGGGCAAAACCCUUAAAUCUAGCAUCACUGGGCAACGUGCGUCUUGAGAAGAUCAUCUCACCUUAAUCUUAAAUUUUCCAGUAACGGAAAAUCUGCCAGAAUCAUCCUAAGUUGUUUCAUUAGUUAAUAAUUUUCAUUAUUAAAGCUAUAUUUUGUUUCUAGCUUGACUUUGCUUUAGCUUCAGCUUCUGACCAGUAGGUCCUGUUUUACUUUUAACUGUUCAUUUGCAUAAGAAAUUGUUCAUUUUGUUUAUGCGAGUGAGUGCUCUACACAUGGUCAGAGUUGCACCACCGUACUUGACAAAUGGAGGAGAUGAGGCUGCUCUGGGCUGGAGGGAGGCUGGCAAGCCCAGCCAGCCCAGGGUGCUCCCAAGGCUGGUGCUCUUCGGGUCUUCCCUCCACAAGCCCAGACCCUCUGGGUGUUCUCCUCAAGCUGUGGCAGCAGCAGCUCUUGCGCAGCUUCUGGGUUUAGACGGGCCCUUCUGGGACCCCAGGAGAAAUGCACUAAUUCAGCACUUUUUCUGUUUAGAGCUGCAUUCCAAACCACAUCGAUUAGCCAAUAUUUAAUCCACCUAACAGCCAACCUGUUCGUUAUGUAUCACUUUCAUUUCUCCCAGGAAUGUGUAAGACUGCACCAAACACCUUUCAGAAAUGUUGCCACAUGAGGGUUUUGACUUUUAUCAUUAAAACCAUACGUUUCAGUAAACUUGCUUGAUAACACCUCUUUUCUAUAAAACUACAUUGUUGACAAGGGUUAUAUUGUAUGUAAAUGUUUUAUUAGUGCCAAGUUCAUAUGAGACAUACCCUUCUUUGGAGAGAUUUGCAUCAGGGAGGUGGGCUUUUAACUAUUCAGGUCUUUCUCUUUGCUCCUUUAAGGUACAACUGUGGUGUAACUGAUGCCAUGAGCUCUCUCCCUUCCCCAGGAACACCCUCAUUUUUCAAACGCUUGCUGGGAGUCCAUGUUAACAAGCUGUGAGCGCUUUGGCUGCUUCACUCGAAGCUCCUACUUUUGGCUACGAUUAUCAGUGCACAUUUUACUCAAGAAUUUUUUUUGUUUGGAAAAGCAAAUGUUUCUGUUGCGAUUCAUUCUUUGGUCUGAAGAGAAAUUUCAACAGUUCUAAGCCAGGUUCUGAAAAUGGCUGGUCGUGGGUAUAAAUAAAUAAGUCUUUAACCUUGCAUGUCAGUUCUGGUUUUGCCGGGAAAUAGACAUUAAUUAUCCUUUUAAACCUCCAGUGCCUUCAUGAGCCUCCUGGAGGUUGACCUGAGAUCUUGAAAUGAGCUAAACACCGUUUGCAUGAUAAUGCAGAAGGCUGUUGCCGGGUCCCCCGGAAUGUGUUGCAGUUUUAGGAAGGCUUUCCAGCUGUCUAAGGAACAUGCCCGACACUUUUUGCGCUGCUUGCUCAGUCCGACCAGCAGCAAACUUCCACAGCUGCCUUGAAUGGUGAGAAAGCUGCUCAGGGCGGUGGGUUUGUUUGGUUUCGUUGUGCUUCAGGGUUUUUUUAAGGUAGUGACCAUAAACACAGCCAUAACUUUGUGCUUGCAUGUGGUUUGUCUGGUGCCCUUUCUGUUUCCAUGUGCUGCCCAAAAAACUAGAGAUGUACGUUCUUGAAAGGCGCGUUCUGCUUGUUCACGUGAUUUUUGACAAAUUUCCUCAAGUUUCUAUUUCUGGAGAAACUGAAGGAGAGCUAAAAGGGAAAAUGUAUGGCUGAAUCACCUCCCCAUUCUUCAGAGGGAGGGUUAUAUUCAGCUUGCAGAUUACUCAUGCUAUGCUCAAAAAUGAAAAUCUGGUACAAAAUGUUUACAGCCUUAUUCUAUCCCUUAAUUCUAUUUUGAAAAGAAAUUAUCAUAAGGAAAGGGCUGAGUAACAACUUUAACAGAAAGGCUGCUAUGCAGUUAGCCUAAUGCAUGUAUGUUUUUAUGCUUCCCCCCCUCCCUUUAUCCGUGUGAUCUUGUCCCAGUUUUAUUCUGGAUAACAGAGAGCUGCCCACGUUUAAACAGGCAGAGGCUUGCUGGCAGUUUUUCCCUUGUUGCUGUUGGUUGUUAUGCACAGGUUGUCCUUUUUAGGCUGACCUUUUACUGGCACAGCUUUAGGGCCAAGUGUGGUUCAGCCUUCUUGGAAGACAAGGGGGGGGGGUGUUUGUAAAAGUCCCUGGAAUGGGUUUGGGGUGGUCCUGGCGUGUGCCGGCUUGCUCCGUGCAGGGGGUGUUUGAAGGCAGGGAGGUGCGAUCCCCUCCAGCCAAGCAAUUGCAGGGGGCUUUGAGGAGCCAAAGCUUUUAAGCGUAUGCAGAGCUGCCUUUAACUGAGUCAUAGUUAUCAGGUAUUGCAAAGGUUAAGCUUUAUCAGCUGCACAAAAAAAGGCUGAGGUUUCAUCAAAAACUUCCAUCCUCACAACCUGUCGACCACAAUUUGAUGAUGAUUAUUGAUUAUUUCACAGCCUUUCACUCACUCUGGCACUGCGGCCAGCCUUGAUAUACAGAUAGGACUGCAGUCCAGCUAAAAUAAGACUCCAUCUUGAUAAUGGACUGAGAUGAGAUACUGUUAUUUGAUAAAGAUAAUUGAUGUUUCACAGUGAAUUGGAAAACAGUUCUGAGUGCAGCAGAUCUGUGGCCGCCUCAUCUGCAAAUGUGGCCUUUGUUUACAAAACACAGCAGAAGACAUGCCCUUAAACCUCCCUGCCACCGCUGGUUUAGCAUGGCUGGCAAUUUCUAGCCAAAAAUAAACCACUUAAAUGGAGAAGCGCUAUUUGUAAUUUCGCAGUCACAAUGAAGUUUCUCAAAGGUGUAUGUAGCUUAGCGUGCUUCUGCUGAGACACCCUGGAGAUCUUGCUGCUUCUGCUUGGGAUGCACUUGCUAAUUUAUUUCAGGUGAGCUGGUAUCCUAAAAUCCUUCUGUUGGUUGUUUGGGUUUUUUUUCCACUAGUAUUUAUACAUGGCAUUUGAAUCAGGCAAAAUGCUACUUGAAAAAGCUGGAAUUUGUCUGGGGAAAAUAAGGCCUAGUGUAUGUCCGGAUUUCUUUGUUCUCCUGAAAUUUUAAGCUCAUUAAUUGAAAACAUAAUGCAUGCUUGCAGUCUCCCAUCCACGCCUUUGUUGACUACACAUGUGCAGCCCCCGGUUUUGAAUUGAUUAAGGUAUCACUCAUUGCAAGUUGCAUUUGCCCAAGUUCUUUUAGUCCUAUUAUAGCCUUUGUAACCUCUAAUUAAGCAAUAGGAGAUGGCAGGGAGUGAGGUUAUCUUGAGCUAAUGACACCCCAAGUGUGUUGUGUGGCACAAGGUUCACCUGUGUGCUGCUAAUCCUCUGGGGGAGUGAUUAUCUAAUGAUAAAUGUGCCACAUUGCAGCUCAUUGAUGCCGCUGCAGUGCGCUCCUGCCACUGCUGGCGUGGCUGAAUUACGCUUCCCAUUCCAAACGUCAUCUUUUCCAUUGAUUUUACAAACUGACAGUUUUGAGGUUUUCUGAAGUGACUUACAUACUGUGCAAAGUCAUGACCCAGGAGACGUGCUUCUCUUUUCCUAUUUUUAAAGUAAUAUAUUUAUUAGGAAUACAAGGCGAAAAAAUGCAUAGUCAUUUUGCUAGGCUAGAAGCAGUCCCAGCAGGUGGGAUGCAGUUAAAGGCUCAUAUUAAAUUCAAAACAAAUUAUUAAUAUUUUGCAUAAGCUUGUAAAUUAUCGUCAACAUGCAGCUGAAAUUCCUGUAUUUAGAGGUGCAAUAAUACAGAAGAAGAGUGAUACUCUGCUGUUUUCUUUUUAAAAUUGAACGCUAAAUCAGCGUCGGCAGACUGUAGAGAUAUAUUUCAGGUAACUGGAUUUUAGGAUACAUGAUUGUUGUUGACCUUGGAAUGAUGGGAAAAUAUUAAUGUCUGAAAGUUGCUUAAUGAUAUUUUGCGCGUCAGAGCCUCUAACACUAUUUUAUAGCCGAAACAGAUUUAGUGACAUUAUUUGUUAAUUCUGAUCAUGCUAAUCUGUAAGAAUUAACUCACCUACAUUCUUUCUUUGGGGGUGUUUCUUCACCGUGCAGGUGAGCAGCAGGCAUGGCACUCAGCUCACAUAAGGGCUGUCCCGCAGAGGGAUGUGUGAGCUCCCGCGGGAGGCUUCCAAGGAUCUGCUGCCCUCACUGCCUGUACAUGCAGCCCAGGAACCUGGGGUUGGUGUGAUUAUCUCUGUUUAAAGUUACGACAGGUAAAUUCUUGCAGAGUAACAGAGUCCAGUCUGGAAUUCCCCCAUUAAUUCAUACAUACAAGCUGUUUGAUAAUUUUUCUUUUCCUGUAGAAAUGUGUUUGGGUAUGUAAUGAGAGACUGGCCCUUACAGAGUCACUAAUUAAAGACUUUCAUUAAAGCAUGAGAACUGAAGCUGCCUGCUGCUGUCACAUCUUCUGGGUCCCUUACUGGUGUAAGAGGUGGAGCCUCAUUCAGAAAAUAUAUCUGUUCUUCCCACCGAGAGGGCUCAAACUGAGAAAUUCCAUGAAUUUUGUGGGAAAAUAUCACUGUACCUCCAGUGCUGUUCUCAUUUUUAGGGCAUUUUGGGCCAUUGACUUCAGCCUGGGUAUUUUGCAUGUCUGUCCGUGUGUUCCUGUUGGCUGGUGGCUCCAAUCUUGGAAGAAUGGAGAAUUCCCUCUGAAAACAGAAACCCUUCCCCAGCAUUGAGCUAUAGAUGAUACAGGGUUGUAUAUGCAGCUGUAUAUUUUGAUGCAUAAUUUAUGAAAACCAUGUCUCCUGUAAAGGAAUCUGCUGAAGCCAAUGUCAUUGCUGUUCCUGAUACAUUUACCGGUACACUGAGGGGUUCCCAGGAUCUGGGCGCCAGCUGGGACUUGCAGUCGGGUCUGUGUUCCUUGCAAGUAGAGAAUGGCUUGGUAAAGUGCAUGCGGGGAGAAGCACACCGUACAGUCAAGGAAGCCAUAAAAUAUUCUAUUUUCAUUGAUUAAAUCUUGGCUUUCAUCAUAAAUAUUUAGAACUGCAUUUCAUAGAGAUACUUGUAACUGAUAUUGAAGUGAGCUGUGCUUAGUGUAAACCUGCUGUAAACCUGUAGUACUGGAUGUGUAAGGAGCUCGUCAUGAAUACAAAUGGUUCAUUUAGCUGAGCAGUAUUGAAUUCUUUAGCUAUUUUCUUCUACAAGUACUCCCUUUACCCUGGUGCUUACUCCUGCUCAGGUGAGUGUCCAUGGGAAGCACAGCUGGUGGUGGGUGCAUAGCCAGAGGAGCCCCCAGCCCCCUUUGUGGGAUCACUGCCAUGAGCAUCACUGUGCUUUGCCACCUCAGAGUGCCUCCCCAGGAGCAUUCUGCAGAUGAUGCAGAUACGCGCCUUUGUAUGCAAAAACUCUGCGGUUUUCACUGGAAGAUUAAAGAGAAGUCUGAGUUUUGGUUCAGUUUAUUUCAAAGCAAAAGAUGCUUUUAAACAUGGGUUAGAAUCGAUGCUGUUUGGUCCGAGGUGCUUUUAUUUGGCUCACUGCAGAAUUAAAGUUGGAGCUUUAGCAGUCAAAGCAGUAAUGGAAUUCUGCAUAGUGUUAUUUUUUAUUUCAGUACCUAGGUGACUUGCAAAUUUUUAUUCUUAUGUAAGGCAGAAGAUUAUUUCAUAUUAUAUUUGGACUGAAUAGUUGCUGAUGUCAGAUGGCUUGUUUCAGUUAAGUUUGAUUAUUGAAUAAAAGACACUGUACUCAAAUACGGUAUUUUAAAGACAGAAGAAGAAAGAUAGUUAUCCUGGAAUCUGAACCUAUAUGUGCAUUUACUGACACUGUCGCACCGACAAGUUCAGAUGAGGCAGGAAAACUUGGUAGCAGGAACACACACAUCCUCAAAUUGCAGAUAAAAGAUAAUUACUGAGUAUAAUCUUUUAAUUUCAUAGGCUUUUUCUCACUGGAGGCAGGAAGGGAAGCUGUUAGGCUGCAGAGCAAAUGCCCCCUUGCCAGCAUCCCGGCACACAGCACGUGUGGAAGCACAUUCAGUGCAGCGUACUUUGGCUGUAAAAAUACUCUGAUGUGCCCCGUCCGUGCUACAGCCGUGGUAAGGUGCAAGGGGGGCUGGGGUGCUCUCUGUUUGGUUUUGUUUAGAAUCUGACUUGCACGAGCAAUAGCAAAGUUCACAAGGGGAAAUCCAUCGUAAUGUAAUACAGGGUAGUAGUAAGUGCAUCGCUGGCAAAUGGGGUAGGAAUUUAAGGGGACAUGCUUCAGCUGCACCAGCACCUGCAUUUGCUCAUCCUCAUUGAUACAGGUACAAGCCUUGCUCUUGAGUUCUGUUUACAUUCUGUUCCCAGUACGAGAUGACCAUAGAGAAGGCGUUAGGCUACCCUGUGUGAUGCGUGCCCAUUUUCCCUAUAGGCUGCGGUAGCUUUACCCCGAGCUGAUUUUUGUAAAUAUACCAAAUAAUACAGUUGAGGGAUUUUAUUCAUUUUUACUGUAACAAGAAAUGAUUGUAGCCAAUUGGCAGCAGAUCCCAGCUAUGUUAGGGAUGCAGUAACGAAAUAGUCACUUUUUUCCAAGUUUCUCAAAAGUUCUUUUAAAACCAGUGUUUAAUUAUGCACAGUUGGUUGGCUGGUGGUAAUUUAACAGUAUAUUUUAUGAGAGUAAACUGUCCUUAUAUGCUUCUACAUGGAAGGCUGGUGGGGAUUUAAUCAAGGUGCAUAUUUACAGAAUGCUAACUUCUCUGCAUUAACUUUUCCCUGGCAUAUUGUUGAUCUGCACCAAAUCUGCCUCUGUGCUUUGCAGUUAAAUCUAUUUUGCACAUAUAAAUAUAUGCAUUAAGCUACAAGUAACAAAUGCAAACUGAAAGUCCUCACUUAGAGCGUAGCGAGUGCACCAUAAAUUCAUACCAUAACUCCAUGCCAACUUCCCAGCCUCAGGAGGCUAAGUAAUGAGGCCUCUGGAGUCACUAAAUUUGCUUUUUAGGUCAUGCUGAUUAGGAAUGCUGGUUUGCUAAAAGACAGAUUUUUUAAAAUUUAUUUAUAUAUUUUUCUGUACUACUUUUCUAGUUGAUUUGGAGACUGGUGGUUUAAAGGAACUUGCCUAUUCCACCUUUGCAGGCAUGCUGCGUUUGCAGAAAUGGGAACAUCUUGUUAGAAGUGGGAAGGCAGGGACAGACGCCAAGCGAGGACUGUGAGUGCAAGAGCAGAAGUCAGGACUGCUCUUGAAUAAUCAAAGUUAGUAAAAACUAAAUUAAAAACUCAUUCAGCUACAGCUUCCUACUUAACUCUUACGCCUCGGCUGUCAGCUUCCAAAGUGGAGAGCUGACAGUGUAAUCCAUUCCAGUAAGGUUUUUUUCCUUUUUGAAGUGGUACAAUUUGGUAUACAAAAGUCAAAUAGACUGGAAAAAAGACAUAAAACUUCCUGACCAGCCUCAGAGGCCACAAGCCCCCUGCUGAGUUACAGAUUUCUUUACAGCACUGAGUUAGUAGCAUCCCCAGGAGCAGUGACAGAAAAGCACGUAUACAGAUUUUAUACUGAGAUCUGCAAAGAAAAUUGAGUUUCCAUGUAUCUACAAUUAUUUCUAAUUUAGCUGUUGCUUCCUAUUCAGACACUAUUUCCUACACAAAAGGUGGCCUCAAUGCUGCUUUUUCCCUUCUAUAAAAAGCUUUUUUUCUUCAGAUGCUGCUAAAGCAGUUGUCUGGAGCUGUCCAGGGAAGCACCUAGCUGGGAAGGGGAGUAAGGAUUUAUGUUUUUUUACAUUGCUUUUACAACUUAUUGUUAAAGAGAGAAAUCCUAGAUUACCCCAGACAGAUCUGGCAGUGUUUAGCCAGAUAAACAGCUGUCAGUCACCUCAGUGUAAGAGCUGUCAUCCUUUUUCCUAAGGGACUGUCACUCCCUUUAAAGAAAAGCUGAAAAAAGAGUGUAUGCAAAUACCUUUUAAAAACAAAUUUUAAGUCUAACUUACAGUUCGUAACUUGCAAAAUCACAUUUAAUUUAUAUUCCAUAUUUCAAGUAGAAAUAGAGCACUAAUAUGCAUUAAAUGGUGAUGGUCAAAUCUGGGUUUCCUCCUUUAGGGUUGCCCAUGGCCAAGCAGCCCAUAUUUAAACACCACUUUCUCUCUCUGUAGAUGUACAGAACUAUUUUAAAUCAUGUUGGUAACACUUCUUUUUUUUACUGGCCUGUGUCUCCAAUCAAGACAUGACCUUUGUGAAUGCAUUUUUGCUUUCGGGGGUUUGUUCUCUGUUAGGGAAAAACAUGGCCCUGAACUCAGGCUUUGUGCCCAGCUGCUUUCUGCUUUGCUUCUCGCAUCCGUAAGUGUGAGACCUGUAGUUGCAUUGAAGGCUCUGAAUUCAAAGGUUAAAAAUACUGCGGCGCUCUAAAUAGGACUGUGACAUUGUUCGAACUAGUGUUCUUUAAGACUUGGGCAAGUAGAGCUGGAGCUGAAAGGGAAGAGCUACACUUGAACACAACUGUUUGAGGAUGGGAGCUUCUGGCUGUGCCAGACACCUCUUAGCUCUCAGGGUUUCAUCUGUACUGAGACAGCACGGGCGGCACUUCAGCCAGAGGGCACCUUGGCGAAAUGCACUUUGACUGGGAAGAGUGGGAAGCGUACGGGAGUGUUGUGCUUGGCUGCAGAGCCCAUGACAGUUACUGGAAUAGGCAAGGGGGAAAAAUGGGAUUGCAGUGACCACAUCUAGCGCGUUGCCAGAGAAGUUUGAGAGGUUGGAGUGCUUCGUGCUCCAGCCACCACACACUGAUGACCGGCUCUCAAAUAGAAGUCAGCAGAUGUAGGCAGGUGAAAAGCAGAUUUUUGAUCGGUUGAACUUCUUAAUAAACAGUAUUCAUAGUAAGUAAUUACAUAGGAAGAGGGGGGGGCUCCAUGCAUUCCUGUCUCCCCUUAACUCACUUAACAAUUCUUAAGUCUAAUUAAAAUUUUUAAUAGCUUUUUCUUUCAAUAGAGACUGAUCUUUGAUGAAAAUGAUGUGGUUCUGACAAACAGUAUCUGUAAGAGCGCACUUUCUGUCUUUUGUCACUGGCUGGUGCUCUGAGCCAUACAGGGUUGUCUAGGUGACUAUUUAUUUCUUUACCUAAGUUUCUUAUGUUUAAAAAACAACUGUUCUAUGAAUUUGGUUGUUUCAGACCGUGCUAUAAAUUUGGUCAUUUCAGCACAGGUAUCAGAAUUAAGGGUUUGCUAAGAAAAUAACAUUGCCUAUCCUGUCUGCUCCUGAAAUCUGUUUUAGUAAUACUUAUUUUUACUCUGACUUUUUUAAAUGGCAAGUCACACCUGAAUCAGGUAGCCAGGAUGUGCUGUUCCGCCUGUUCGUGUCUGGGGGUUGUGUUCUCCCAUGGCUGUAACGGGUUGACUGGGUUUUGCGCGGAGCACUUGCAAGUGCAGAGCCCUGGUGCUUGUCCAGAUUGAACUCUUAUCUAUGCUUUGGGUUUUUUUUACACAAACCACUUGCAAUUAUUGUUAUUAUAUCCCUUUUAAUAGUGAUUUAAAUAUUUUAUAUCUCACACAAAUACUAUUUAAAAUAUUAAUUAAUAAUUAAUAAUAGAAAGAAUAUUAAACGCUUUCUUCCAUUUUCAUUGGUAAGGAUAGGCUAACUGUACUCAGAAUAAUUUAACAUAUGAAUUUUCCUAGAAAUUAAAGCAAAAAGCUUAGCCUACAAGCUGUUGAAACCUCUUUUAAAACAGUAAUUGUCAAGGAGAUACAAAUUUUAAUAACAAUACCAAGUUGUCUAACAUGGUACUUACACAGAUAUUCUGAGGUUAUAUUACGGUAUUAGGAACCUUUAAAUAAAGUACAGGAGCAUUGGUUUCAGAGGAAAAAUCACUGCUGCUAUCAUGGACUGUGCUUUGUAUGUUCAGGGGCAAUUAAUUACCGCAGGGGGGUUGGAGCUGACAAGUGCAUGCCUGAAGUGGGAGCUGGGUUUUGGGAAGGCGGGUGGCUUUUUGGAGGUGCAAGCCCAGGCUGUGAUUGCAGCCGUGGUUCUAGGGAAGAGGGGCUGGUGCUGGGCUCCUUGUGCGGCGCGGGGCUGGAGCCCUGCCAUUUGGGGUGGGUUUACACUGUCCCGUAGCACCCAGGCGGCUGCACCUGUCAUCUCAUUUUUUUCUGGCUUAAGUUCAGUCAACAAAGAAGCUGCCUCUUGUUGUGGUUGUCAUUUGCCCAGGAAGUAAAAGCAAAUUGUAAUGAGGCACUCGCAGCAGGAGGAGCUCCUAAGAAAUGAGAGGCAUGUAUUGACAGACAGCCCGCCUGCUGGUCCGGCGAGAAAUGGGGUUAUACAUGGCCUGCCAAGGCACUUCGGGCUCUCGUUGAACGCUGCCUCCCAGAUGGUGCGCAGCGCAUCUGAAUAUGGAGUAAUUGUAAUGGCUGAUGCAAAAUUGUAUUACUGUAAGGUUAAAAAUCAAGUUAUAUAUUUUAUUAAGUUAAAAAAUGUCAUACAUGCGCUUUGACUUUAUUGAGAAGCCACUUGAAGGACAGGAAGAAAAUUAGUUUAAAGAUGCAAAUAUACUCUUUUUCUCAGUACAGUCCUGAAAUGUUACUGCAAUUGUUAGUACUGCUGGAACUACCAUAGAAAUUGAAUUAGUAAAGAUACUUGAAACUGUCUUAAGUUAAUAGUAUUUUAGAUAUUUCCACCAAAUUGCUUAAAAAGUAGAGAUUUUAUUUUUUUUAAGUGUUCAUAAAAACUUUGUGACAGACUAUCUUGUAAGAAUUUACUUUUGGUAUGAAAAAUGAGGCAAUGUUUUAGAUACUUCUUCAGGUGAAGCCAUUUAGCUUUGUAGAAGAACGCUGUUUUACAAAACCCAAAAGCUGGGGGUGCCCUGCCCCUGCCUGCCCUGUGGCCGUGGCAGUGUGGGGGCCAGCGCGGUGGCCGGGGCAGCCAGCCUUGGCAAGGACAGCACACGACUGGAGGGAAAGACUUUGCUUGCUGGCUUAUUCAGUGAGGACAGCUGUAAAUAAGUUCCAUUUCAUCUUUUUUAAACACAAAGAUUAGUAUAUAUUAUUCAACGCUUUUAAGCAUAGGACUUUCAAGUUUCAUUUUAUUCAGAAUCCAUUAUACUUAUAUAAGAGAAUUAAAACAUAACAAAAAGUUACAGAAACCCUGCACUUGUAUUGAGGGCACAUGAGUAGAUUGUCUGCUGUGUUUAAAUACUGACUUUCUACGCACCUCUGUGGGGAGGGUUCAUGCUGGCUGCCACGCUCACUGUAGUGCCCUGCACCGGCCAUCUCGUCGGCUGCAGGUGCCAGGCACCUCCCGGCCGCAGGUUAAUAGAAGGGAGGCAAAGCUAUACCAGCUACCACUGGAAACACACCAUCAGGAAUGUGAGAGUAAGUGGGGACUUCCUACCAUCUGUUGAAAAUCCCUGGUACCCCCUCCAUUGUAGGCACCGAUCUUAAGUCCAUAUAUUCUGAAAUAAGGAAAUCAGUCACAUGAAAGUAUGAUGUGAAGAACAUAGAGCAAAAGAAGACAGAUGUGCGGGAGCCCAGGAAGGAGUGCUGCUGCAAACAAAGAUAAGAUUCACAAUCUCUGAAGAAAAAAAGAAGAAUGGCUCUUGGGCAUAGUACAUCGCAGCCUGGCGAAGGUGCUGUUCAUCUCCUGGGGACUGAAGUGAGAGCAGCCGAGCAGGCACUGCAGGGGCUUGUGUUUACCUUUGAAGUGGUUGUCCUAAUUAUUUAUUUUUAUAUAUUCACCUCAUAGGUCUGCCACUUUUAUUGUUAUCUCAAAGGCCAGUAUUUAUUCCUUUGCACAGUUUGGGCUCUGUGUAUGUUCUGCAGGUUUUGCACUCUACGUUAGCAUUAAAACCCAUCUUCUAAUUUUUUAAUUAAAAAAAAAAGAAAAUUUGUGUUUUGUGUUUCUGUGAUGUGUAAUCCCUCGGUGCCACUGCCAGGGGACCUCAGAGAGGUAUAUGCAUGUCAGUGAAGCACUACUAACCUGCUCUUCUUUUGUGGCUCAUUUCUGGUUAUAUUAUUUGUAAUACGAUUCAAAAAAAAAAAAAAAAAAAAAAAAAAAAAACGACAAACCACCUCUAGAAAUGACUGAUCUGUCAGACCUAGCUGUAUUUAUUAAGACCUGUUCUAAACUUGCAUUAUUUCUUUGUAGUUGGGAGGGGGAAGCAGAGGGAGAGGUGCAUUUUUACAGUAGGUGCCGUCAACCCCAAUGAUUUUCAGCUUAACAUUUCAGUUGUUAAGUAUCUGUUGUUAGACUUUGCCUUUAGCAUAGUGAGUUCUAUGUUUAUGAUUUAUUGACCUUCUCAUAUCAUGUUGCAUUUAUGCCUAAGAACACUUCUAGGUGGUUGCUGUGGCAGAUCACCCCGGCUCGGUUGCUGAAGUUGCCCAUGAAGCCAUUGCCAGUGACUCCUCACUGAUCCAUGAAAGAGUUACAGAAUUGCCUCCACCUUAAUUUUCACAUAACUGUUCCUUGCCCAGAGAUUAUUUGUGUCCUGCGCAGAAGUUGGAGCUCUUAUUUUCCUACUGCUCCAAGCUAAAAGCAGGCACAUCAUUUUAGGGGUAUUGCUCAGCUGUGGCAAACCUCCACUUUUGUGUGUGUUUCACACGACGGGCACCGGAAGGGCAGUGCUUCUGGGGGUGAUACAUUAGGCGUGAGGUUUCCUCAGUAAGUGAAUUUUUUGUUUCCGUUUGGUCAAGGUACCCCUAGAGACUGGGGAGAUUAAUAUCAAAUAAUAAAGGUGAUAAAAUAUUAGUGUCUCUCUCUAGGAGUACUUAAGUUACUUUAUCAAUUUAAAGUAUGCAUUUCAGUAUAUUAUGAAAAUAAAACCGCUGCAGGGUACAGUGUUUGUUUUUUAUGUCACCUUUAAUAGAAUAUUGCAGUUCAAUGCAGAGUUUACCAAAUAUUGGACUUGGUAUUUAGGUUGCCAUAGCUUCAGUAUAUCAUGCAUUACAGGACGGCAGUGGCAGGUGCAGAAGUCAAA
Long non-coding RNA from Falco peregrinus (peregrine falcon), 15162 nucleotides. RefSeq lists it as uncharacterized. The transcript has 2 exons. The record is from RefSeq and is a predicted model, not a curated record. NCBI's taxonomy places the organism in Eukaryota, Metazoa, Chordata, Aves, Falconiformes, Falconidae.